GGACCAAGGAGUCUAGCAUGUGCGCGAGUCAUUGGGAUUUUUACUAAACCUAAAGGCGCAAUGAAAGUGAAGGUCCGCCUUGCGCGGACCGAGGGAGGAUGGACCGUUCCGAGGGACGGCCUCGCACUCCCGGGGCGUCUCGCUCUCAUCGCGAGAAGAGGCGCACCCAGAGCGUACACGCUGGGACCCGAAAGAUGGUGAACUAUGCCUGGUCAGGACGAAGUCAGGGGAAACCCUGAUGGAGGUCCGUAGCGAUUCUGACGUGCAAAUCGAUCGUCGGAACUGGGUAUAGGGGCGAAAGACUAAUCGAACCAUCUAGUAGCUGGUUCCCUCCGAAGUUUCCCUCAGGAUAGCUGGCGCUCGCUUCUCGCGAGUCUCAUUCGGUAAAGCGAAUGAUUAGAGGCAUUGGGGUCGAAACGGCCUCAACCUAUUCUCAAACUUUAAAUGGGUGAGAUCUCCGGCUUGCUUGAACUGUGAAGCCGCGAGAUAUCGGAUCAGAGUGCCAAGUGGGCCACUUUUGGUAAGCAGAACUGGCGCUGUGGGAUGAACCAAACGCAGAGUUAAAGCGCCUAAAUCGACGCUUAUGGGAUACCAUGAAAGGCGUUGGUAACUUAAGACAGCAGGACGGUGGCCAUGGAAGUCGGA
Molecule: ribosomal RNA, 645 nt
Filed under: Maladera affinis
Lineage: Eukaryota; Metazoa; Arthropoda; Insecta; Coleoptera; Scarabaeidae
Also listed under: 5 other names
Description: eukaryotic LSU rRNA
Rfam family: Eukaryotic large subunit ribosomal RNA
Source: RNAcentral